CUUUACUAAAAAAAAAUCAGAUUUUUAAUAUUGUUGUAUCUUAUUAUACUGUAUACUUAAUUUGCAAUUUAGUUAGAUCUAUAUUGGCACGGAAGUUUACAAUACAAAAACUCGCAUUUAUAAAUAAAUACGACUCAUCACUGUAUGAGUUGAUACGAAUUGAAAUAACCACGUGUUUCCGCUGUGGUGUAAACAUGAUGGUGAUCCGAAAUCUGAACGUCAAUUUUCAUGAUUAUUUCACGACGAAGAUCAUCACAUCAAUGAAUCAAAUAAUACGGACAUGCCUUUGGUAUUAGCAGGGUGCAGGCACCAUAUGCAACAAUACUUUCAUCUGUGAAUACCCACUUGCUAAGCCCACCAUGAACUACGAAGGCCAAUUAAUAUGUAAGGACACCAAUGAACAGACUCUUUCCAAUUAUCGUACAUCAUAUACAUAGGUGGUCAAACUCAUUGGAUGGUUUGUCAACAAUCUCAUUCUCACGAACAGCCUUGCCCCAGGAAUUUUGCCCUGAAGUAACAUUUGCAGUCAAUUGUCUCCUUUCCUUUUACAACCUUGGCAGCCAUGCAGGAUAGAAGCUGAUCACUUGUACUUGACAGCAAAUAAUAAUGUCUUGGACAAGUCAAAGAACUUCCUCCAGUCUUACAGAGAAAUGACAGUUGAUAAAAGAAUGGUGGACACAAAGUAAAAGUGCUCUUCAACAUUUUGUUGAAGAUUUCAGUCUGAUUUGGAUUUCAUCUUGCAAUAUUUCUGUAUUUGUAUAUUUGGA
Long non-coding RNA from Saccostrea cuccullata (small rock oyster), 767 nucleotides. RefSeq lists it as uncharacterized. NCBI's taxonomy places the organism in Eukaryota, Metazoa, Mollusca, Bivalvia, Ostreida, Ostreidae. The record is from RefSeq and is a predicted model, not a curated record. The transcript is spliced from 4 exons.